UACGUAGGGUGCGAGCGUUGUCCGGAAUUAUUGGGCGUAAAGAGCUCGUAGGCGGUGUGUCACGUCGGCCGUGAAAACCUGCAGCUUAACUGUGGGCGUGCGGUCGAUACGGGCAUCACUGGAGUUCGGCAGGGGAGACUGGAAUUCCUGGUGUAGCGGUGAAAUGCGCAGAUAUCAGGAGGAACACCGGUGGCGAAGGCGGGUCUCUGGACAUUUCCUGACGCUGAGGCACGAAAGCCAGGGGAGCAAACGGG
RNAcentral lists this ribosomal RNA (254 nucleotides) under uncultured bacterium. Its description in RNAcentral is "partial 16S ribosomal RNA". It matches the Rfam family "Bacterial small subunit ribosomal RNA", at positions 524 to 776 of the family's 1533-position model. The record is from RNAcentral.